CCUGGUUGCUCGCCUGUUGCCUUUAGAUUUGGAUGGCUGGAUUUUCCCCUGCAAAGACAUGAAAGCCGGGUCAUUUGGUGCUUGCCCUGUUUGAGCGGUGAUUCCCCAGAUAGCUAUGCCAUGGAGCCCAUUCGUAUAAUGAAAGACUAUGGGAAAGACUUUGGCUCCAUGGCAAUUGAACUUUAUGUGUGUGCUCUGAACGCCAUUCAGUAAUAAUGUGCGCUC
This is a non-coding RNA of Pelobates cultripes (western spadefoot toad), 225 nucleotides long. Lineage: Eukaryota; Metazoa; Chordata; Amphibia; Anura; Pelobatidae. The record is from the annotation of a GenBank genome assembly.